CAUGAAAUUGAGUCUCAGAGAGGGGAUCGAUUUGCUUAGUGGUAUAAUACCUGAACUCUGUCAGAAAUAUCCAGAUUUAAAUUUCAUAAUUGGAGGAGAG
RNAcentral lists this small RNA (100 nucleotides) under Pan troglodytes (chimpanzee). Its description in RNAcentral is "processed transcript". Lineage: Eukaryota; Metazoa; Chordata; Mammalia; Primates; Hominidae. RNAcentral also lists the same sequence under 1 other name. The record is from RNAcentral.